RNAcentral lists this ribosomal RNA (300 nucleotides) under uncultured Lactobacillus sp. RNAcentral describes it as "partial 16S ribosomal RNA". It matches the Rfam family "Bacterial small subunit ribosomal RNA", at positions 496 to 795 of the family's 1533-position model. Lineage: Bacteria; Bacillati; Bacillota; Bacilli; Lactobacillales; Lactobacillaceae. The record is from RNAcentral.
GGUAAGGUCGGGCCAGCAGCGUCGGUAAUACGUCGGGGGCAAGUGUUAUCCGUAAUGUUGUGGCGUAAAUCGCGCUUAGGCGGUGUUGUAAGUCUGUUGUGAAAGCCCACGGCGCAACCGUGGAGGGUCAUUGGAAACUGGAAAACUUGAGUGCAGAAGAGGAAAGUGGAAUUCCAUGUGUAGCGGUGAAAUGCGCAGAGAUAUGGAGGAACACCAGUGGCGAAGGCGACUUUCUGGUCUGCAACUGACGCUGAUGUGCGAAAGCGUGGGGAUCAAACAGGAUUAGAUACCCCAGUAGUC